This is a long non-coding RNA of Pongo pygmaeus (Bornean orangutan), 1393 nucleotides long. RefSeq lists it as uncharacterized. The transcript has 2 exons. The record is from RefSeq and is a predicted model, not a curated record. NCBI's taxonomy places the organism in Eukaryota, Metazoa, Chordata, Mammalia, Primates, Hominidae.
GUAUCAUCUCUUCUCCACCGGCUUCCCAGUUUACACCCUCGGCCAACACUAUUGUUUGAGGCUUCAGACUUGUGACUCCAACUGCCCAUCCAACAUCUCCAUGUGGAUGACUUGUGUCUCUCCCUGCGUGCCCACCACUGUUUACCCCCGCUCAUGUGCAAGGAAGGACGGAGUCGGCAUCUGAGUGGCCAUGGGCAAGGACUCACCGCAUUUGCUGUCCUGUAGCACCUGGCCUGCGCCACAUGCCCCCUGCCCCUCCAGGGCCUUGGCUGGCCUCUGGGCUACCUCGUACUCAGUGCCUGAGAUCUGGACGUAGAACUGCUGCCGGCCGAUGGACUUGCGCAGGGUCUUGAUGGCGGCCUGCAGGCUCUGUUCUGCUCGCUUCCGCAAGCAGUCUGCUUCGCACGUGUCUGCAGGGGCAGGAGAGACAGAACAUGAAUCGCCCGCAACCCUGCUAGCCACUGCCUUCUUAGCUGAGGGCUCCCCCGUGCCAGGCCCUGCACUGGACUCGGACCACCUCAGCACAUUCUCACGACAGUCCUGGGGCAAGGGGUCACUGUCAUGCCCAUCUGACAGAUGAGGAGGCUGCGGACCUGGGAGGCAGGGCCUGCCCAAGGCCACGCGGCAGAUCUGAGUGCAAUCCAGGCAGCUGCCACUGUAACACAUCACCCCCCAGGGUUCGACUCACGGGGCAAGAACUCCUUUCUGUCACUCAAAGACUCUUGGGGACUGCCACUGUCCCAAGGAUAGUGUCCAGCUCUCUGGCCUUGAAUCCAAGGCCCUUCAAGGUCCAGCCCCGUCUGGCCUUGCCAUCCUCAUCCCCUCCACUCUGACACUCCCUGUGGAUUCCAAUGUCUAGCCACCCGGCCCUACUUACUGCUUCCUGGACACCUCCUCCUCUCUCUGACCUCUGUGCCUUUGCCGAUUCUAUUCCCUCUGCCUGAAUGCCAUUCCUUGCCACCUCUUCCACCCAGUGAGCUUUGAUUCUAAGCUCUCAUUCAAAUGGCACCUCUUCUGGGAAAGCUUUCUGAUAUGGUUUCAAUAUUUGCCUCUUCCAAACCUCAUGCUGAAAUCUGAUCCCUAAUGCUGGGGGUGGGGCCUGGUGGGAGGUCUCUGGGUCGUGGGGUAGGUCCCUCAUGAAUGGCCUGGUGCUGUCCUCGUGGUAGUCAGUUCUUGCUGGCUCUACUAGUCCCCAUGAGAUGUGAUUGUUGAAAAGAUGUAGGCACCCCCUCCCCUCUCUCUUGCUCCUUUCCCCUUGCCAUGUGAUGCCAGCUGCUCUUCACCUUCCUCUGUGAGCAGAAGCAGCCUAAGGCCUCGCCAGGCAGAUGCUGCUGCCGUGUUCUCGGACAGCCUGCAGAGCCAAGAGCCAAUAAACUCUUCUCCUGAUAAAUUA